UGGUGCGACCACACCAGCACUAAUGCAUCGGAUCCCAUCAGAACUCCGUAGUCAAGCGUGCUUGGGCAAGAGUAGUACUAGGAUGGGUAACCUCCUGGGAAGUCCUCGUGUUGCACCUC
Molecule: non-coding RNA, 119 nt
Organism: Lupinus angustifolius (narrow-leaved blue lupine)
Lineage: Eukaryota; Viridiplantae; Streptophyta; Magnoliopsida; Fabales; Fabaceae
Source: Rfam